UGGAGACGGGGUUUCAUCGUGUUGGCCAGGCUGGUCUCGAACUCCUGACCUCAGGUGAUCCCCCGCCGUCCAGAUUUUGAACAAAUCUCUCUAGGGAUUGAACAGAGCUGCGCCUGGAUCCUGCCACAGUGAGGAGACCUGAAGACCAGAGGAAGCACAGCAAGCCCUUGGAUCCUCCUGGAAUCCCCGAUCCCUGUUGCUCCCUUGCGGAGUUUUCUAGUCCGUCUUAUUUGAAGUAUGUCUUUCAGAGCCUCACACCACCCAGCUUGGGUAUGUGAUACACAAAUAUUAUGUUUCCUCGGUGGUUUUUUUCCCCUCACAUCGGGCCCUCCUCUUCAGUCGACUUCAGUGUGGUACCUGCAGGUCUCAGGCCUUCUGGGAAGUUCCAGCUUUGCCUGGUUGCUCUCUCUCUGGCCAGCUCAGGCUGGAGCAGUGGGUGUUGGUGCCAUCCUGUG
This 455-nucleotide long non-coding RNA is filed under the name Pongo abelii (Sumatran orangutan). RNAcentral describes it as "lincRNA". The record is from RNAcentral. Lineage: Eukaryota; Metazoa; Chordata; Mammalia; Primates; Hominidae.